CAAACAACUUCGCAGUGUCAACAAAAGAUGAAUGCUGUCAUCCAACACAAGCAGUCAAUAGUUGAGCAUAAACAUGCCACAGUGGCAGCACUCUUCUUCUCAACAACAGGAUCCUUUGCAGCCUCAGAAAGUACAGCAGAAUAACCGCAAAAGGAAAGGGCCUUCAUCCUCUGGAGCUGCUAACAGUACUGGUACAGGAAAUACAGUUGGUCCUUCAUCUAAUUCCCAACCGUCAACUCCAUCCUUCAAUGAAGUCGGUUCAAUAUGUAAAAGUAGUAGCAAAGUUGUCUGCUGUCACUUCUCUUCAGAUGGGAAAUUAUUAGCCAGUGCAGGACAUGACAAGAAGGUUGUUAUUUGGAAUAUGGAAACACUACAGACUGAAAGCACACCCGAGGAUCACAACCUGAUAAUUACUGAUGUUCGAUUCAGACCAUAUUCAACUCAGUUGGCAACUUCUUCAUUUGACACAACUGUGUGACUUUGGGAUGCUGCUGAACCAAAUUGUUUACAGACAUAUAAAGGACAUACCUCGCAUGUCAUGUCACUUGAUUUCCGCCCUAAGAAGACUGACCUUUUCUGCUCAUGUGACCCGAACAAUGAGAUUCGCUUUUGGAAUAUUAAUCAGUAUUCGUGCAUUCAUGUUUCUAAGGGAGGUUCUUCACAGGUGAGGUUCCAGCCAAGAAUUGGACAAUUUAUGGCUGUGGCAUCUGGGAAUGUUGUGUUAAUAUUCGAUUCUGAGAGUGAUGGGCAGACACAUUCACUGCAGGGCCACUCCACAGGGGUGCACUCUUUUUGUUGGGAUACAAAUGGAGAUUAUUUGGCUUCAGUCAGUCAAGAUUCUGUCAGAGUGUGGUCAUUAUCCUCUGGGAAGUGCAUUCACGAGCUCAGUUCUAGUGGAAACAUGUUCCAUUCUUGUGUUUUCCAUCCAAGCUACUCCAAGAGGUCAUCGGAGGCUACCAGGCCUGGGUGCAGUAAAUAUCUUUGGCCACUCUAGCAAAUCAUUACGGUGAAGGAGAUGUAUGUGCAACUGCAUCUGCAUCUGCAUAGGCCUCCAGUUUUGGUCAGGUUACAUGGUAUGAUGCUUGAAGAUUUGCGGAAUGGUAUUGUGGAUGAGGUACUGUGAGCACGUUGCCAUUUGCUUUGAAAGAGUUUGUCCAUAUCAAAGAAGGGUUGCAAUUGUGGAGAAGAAAUUUUUCUAUUUCUGGAUGUAUUGGGAAAUUUUAGUUGGUGAAGUUGUUGUAUGAUGCAUUUUUGAAUAUAGUAUACGGCACAUGAAAUGUAAAGGUGCCAAAUACUAGUAUUUGCUAGUAUUUGGCACAUAUUUUUUUAAUCCAGCUUAAUGAUUUUGCCACUGAUAUCAGUGGAAUUCCUAAGCCACUGAUGUUUGGAUCAGUUGCUUUGGCACUGAUUGAGAUGUAAUUUUGCUUUGGUUAGAGGGAUGACACUGUUAAAUUAUUAGUAUGUAAUGCCCCAAUAGCACCUGCAAUAGAGGGGACUGAUUCCUCAUUAGUGGCUGCACAGUGGGUAAUCUCAGUAGCCAUUCUUAUCAGUGUGUAUUGGGACAAAGGGGACUAAUUCAGAUCAGUAUGGAAUGGGGAAAUUUCUAGUAGUGAGUCAAUGGAGCUCUGGAACAUGGCUGUGAACAAGUGUAUGACGGUUGCUGCUCAUGACUCUGUAAUAUCAGCUUUGGCACAGUCACCAGUUACAAGGAUGGUCGCUUCAGCCAGUCAUGAUAAAUCCGUUAAAGUCUGGAAAUAAAGAGAAAUAUUUUAUGCAGAUCCCGUGUUAGAUGUCUGCGAUCAUCUCAACUGCAGAGAAAGUCGGAAUAAACUUAAAAACAUAGAAGCUCAUUAUUAUACUUUUUACAUUUAAUACUUGUUCGUCAGUAUUCAUGUAAUAAGGUGAUGGUUAAAAUUAACUGUGUUCGAAAGCGAUUUAUACAUGUAAUUUCCAUACUUUUUACA
Rosa chinensis is the source of this 1964-nucleotide long non-coding RNA. RefSeq lists it as uncharacterized. The transcript has 11 exons. The record is from RefSeq and is a predicted model, not a curated record. Lineage: Eukaryota; Viridiplantae; Streptophyta; Magnoliopsida; Rosales; Rosaceae.